GGCAGCCUGAGCUGAGGAAGCCCUGUGUGUGGGCGGGGCGAUCACCACCAGAAGGAAUAAAAACACAAGGAGAAGCCAGCCCCGUUCAGGACCACGGGAAGGUCUGCUCUAUUGUUUGAAGCCUUUCUCUUGUCUGUGGCAAGCCUGCAGAUUCAGUAACGACCACAGCUGUGCUUGGGCCCAGGCUUUUCCUGGGAGGCCUGUCCGCCUUCAGAGCAGGAGCAGAAGCAGCUGGUGUGGCUGCCCUCCUCCCAGCUCUCUCUCCAGUUUCUGAGUAGUGUCGGGACCAGCCGCGCUUGGGAUGCUCAUCCGUCCAGAGAUUUUAUCAGACUUCUGAUGAAUCUAAUUCCGGUGAAAGGAAGCAGAGGAAAACGAGCUGUUUAGGUUCACGGACAAUGUAUUUCUGGGCAAGAAAUGUGACUCUGUCCCCUUCUGUUGAAAUGCAGUAUUGACACACGUGGCACGGGAGAGCAGAACAGGACGAAUGGUUUUCUGUGAAGCACGGCUGGGUGGCAAGAGCUCCCUACUUACCUGCAGUGUUGGCUCCACUUGCCAGCUGUGACCUUGGACAUUGCAAGCCUGAGAUGGUUCAUCUUUAAAGGGGGAUUACUGCAGCUGCCCUGAUGGAGGGUUGUUGGAGGCUUGUUGGAGGAUUAAAGAAACUGAUGACCAAAAGGCUACUAGUACCAAGUGUGUGUUCAGUCAACAUGAGAGAGCUGCUGCGAUGGACUUGUAGGCGAGGGCUAAGCAGCGAGAUUUUGUGGCCUUCCUUGGCUGUUACAUUAAUUUAAAAGAUGACCUCAGAGUGACCCAGAGACAUAACUUGAUAAGGAACCAUGGCUUUAGCAGAAGCAGCCAGAAGAAUUUCCCACCUGGAUCGAGUUUCACAGGUGUGAUUUUUGAACCAGGAAAUCAAACUGGGUUCUCUGGCAGUACUGUCUCACCCUCAAGACCUGGGAAACGUCUGACCACCAGGUGACAGGCCCCACUUUAGCUGUGCAUUGUUGCAGAAAGUAUCCAUUUACACAUAGGUAUAUCAGAGCCUUCCCAUGAAACCACUGUGUCUCCCUGCGGUUCCGAAAUCCUGAACUCUCAAAGAUGCCCCCAGAUGAACUGUUCUCCACUAAGAAUGAAAUAAAUCAGUGAUGGUUCCUUCUUAUUGAA
Molecule: long non-coding RNA, 1164 nt
Organism: Capra hircus (goat)
Lineage: Eukaryota; Metazoa; Chordata; Mammalia; Artiodactyla; Bovidae
Exons: 2
Source: RefSeq, a predicted model, not a curated record